Molecule: ribosomal RNA, 253 nt
Filed under: uncultured bacterium
Lineage: Bacteria
Description: partial 16S ribosomal RNA
Rfam family: Bacterial small subunit ribosomal RNA
Source: RNAcentral
GACAGAGGGUGCAAACGUUGUCCGGAAUCAUUGGGCGUAAAGCGCGCGUAGGCGGCCUCAUAAGUCCGUUGUGAAAGUCAAAGGCUCAACCUUUGAAAGCCGAUGGAUACUGUGAGGCUAGAGUCCGGAAGAGGCGAGUGGAAUUCCUGGUGUAGCGGUGGAAUGCGCAGAUAUCAGGAGGAACACCAAUAGCGAAGGCAGCUCGCUGGGACGGUACUGACGCUGAGACGCGAAAGCGUGGGGAGCGAACAGG